This 84-nucleotide microRNA precursor is filed under the name Bombyx mori (domestic silkworm). RNAcentral describes it as "mir-2807 microRNA precursor family". It matches the Rfam family "mir-2807 microRNA precursor family". Lineage: Eukaryota; Metazoa; Arthropoda; Insecta; Lepidoptera; Bombycidae. The record is from Rfam by way of RNAcentral.
UUAGUUCAUAUUUGUAUGGAAUGGGAUCGUUUGCGUACGUUUGCCGCUAGGGGCGCUGUUCCAAAUGCAUACAAAAUUCGGCUA